RNAcentral lists this long non-coding RNA (1490 nucleotides) under Mytilus galloprovincialis (Mediterranean mussel). Lineage: Eukaryota; Metazoa; Mollusca; Bivalvia; Mytilida; Mytilidae. The record is from RNAcentral.
CUAUUUUAUUGAUAGAUUUUUUUAACCUCAAAAAGACAUGGCUUCAUUCAUUGAUUUACCAAAUCAAAUUAAAAGUCAGUAACUCUGAAAUUAACCAUUUGUCUUUGAUUUCACAACUAUUUCCUAUCAUUUUUUGGAACAGAAUUUUCACUAGCAUACAGAUCAUCUGACAAGCAAAACGUCUGUUUAACUGAAUAUCAUUAUGGUAAAAAUCCAUUUGAAAUAUAGUUUAUCGAACUGUACGGCGAUUUGAAGUGCAAAACUUCGUGUUUUAUACUGGCUUUAUAUUAGGUGCUUUGUGUCCAUUUUAAUGGCACGCGAGGCGUAUUAUUCUGUCUGAACAAAAUGUGCCCUGAGAGUUGAACUGUUUUGUUACGGAACUUAUUUCUGUUGUAUUCAAAUAUGUAGUUGUAAUUAACUGGCCGGUAAUAGUCGGCACUAUUCAAUGUAUGUUGUACUGGUGUGUAAUAAUCUAUGUUUUUGUGUGAUGUACUUUCAUGUAAUAAUGUAUGGGUUUUUUUACGAGCCUUCGACUUUUGUAGCGAUUCUACAUUCCGUCGUCUUCGUCGUCGUCGUCGUCCACAAAUAUUCACUAUGUGGUUAAAUCUUUUGAAGUUUUAAUAACUUUCGAUUUCUACAAUAAUCGAACAGAAGCUUGUUUAUGAUCAUAAGAUACUAGUAGUAUCAAGGAGUAGACUUAGUUUUCUGCCAUGAAACAUCAAAUUCACUCUGUAAUUAAAGUUUUUAAAAUUUUAAUAACUUUCUUAAACUAUCCUGGAUUUCUACCAAACUUGGACAGAAGCUUGUUUAUGAUCAUAAGAUAGUAUCCAGAAACAAAAUUGUAAUAACAAAUUUCAUUUUUUCCGUAUUUAACUUAUAAAUGGUCUUAGUUUUUCUUCAAGUUAACAUUACAUACAGUCUGCAGUUAAAAGUUUUUAAAACAUUUAUUAGAUUCAUAAACUAUCCUGGUUUUUUACCAAACUUGGACAGAAACUUCCUACAAUUAAAAGAUAGUAUCGAGAAAAAUAUUAUUAUUUGUUUCCCCUCUUUUGUGUUAGCCCUCGAUUAACAGCAAAAGAAGACACUGGGUUCCGCGGAACUCUUACAAAUUCUUUUUAUCUAUAAUGUACAGUUGUAUUGAACCGUACUUUUUUGGUAGGCUAAUAUAAAAAAGAAGAUGUGGUAUGAUUGCCAAUGAGACAACUGUCCACAAGAGACCAAAAUGACACAGACAUUAACAACUAUAGGUCAUCGUACGGCCUUCAACAAUGAGCAAAGCCCUCACAUCAUAGUCAGCAAUAAAAGACCCCUAUAUGACAAUGUAAAACAAUUCAAACGAGAAAACUAAGCUUAUUGUUGUGUUAUAAUUUGUGAGUUAUAUGAUGAUUUUUUUUUAUUAAAUUGACAAUUUGUGCUUUGUAUUAAUUUGUUUUCCAUUGAAGUAUUAGUUUUCUAUAAACUUUUACAUGAUUUAUUAUCACGAAGUAACC